Dermacentor andersoni is the source of this 455-nucleotide long non-coding RNA. RefSeq lists it as uncharacterized. Lineage: Eukaryota; Metazoa; Arthropoda; Arachnida; Ixodida; Ixodidae. The record is from RefSeq and is a predicted model, not a curated record.
CACAGAAAGAGCCGUUACUGAAGAAGUCAUCUCGAUCGGCUAUCAGUUCAUCGAUCACUGCAAGAAAUGCCUUGCUGCCUGAGAAUACAGAUACUUGCCGUGGCUGUCAUCACGCUUGCCAUGCUGGCCAUGGUAUCGGGACGCCCCGGAUCAGAAGUGGACAGUAACGGAGAAGCAUCAAGCAGAGCAGACAGCCCAUGGAACCUGGGUUCUGUGGCGGAAGUUAUACAAUCCUAUUUUGAAGCCUUUUUUCCAAAAAUUGUAGAAGUCGCAAAAAAACUUGUCGGAUUAUCUUCUUAAGUUGAAAAACGGUGAUCAACCUAUAUCAUCACUUGUGUGCAUUGGCGUUUCCCAGGCUUUCACUCUUGCUUUCACGGAAUGAACGAAUCUGUUUUUCCUGCUGAAGAAACAAUAAAGUUGAAGCGAUUGGGCCGUCGCUGUUUUAUUGCUCCUGA